UACGUAGGGUCCAAGCGUUAUCCGGAAUCACUGGGCGUAAAGCGUGCGUAGGCGGCUUGUUAAGUGCGGUGCGAAAUCCUGUGGCUCAACCAUAUGGACUGUAUCGCAUACUGGCAAUCUAGAGGACAUGAGAGGCAAGUGGAAUUACUGGUGUAGCAGUGAAAUGCGUAAAGAUCAGUAGGAACACCAAUGGCGAAGGCAGCUUGCUGGAAUGUAUCUGACGCUAAGGCACGAAAGCGUGGGGAGCGAACAGG
RNAcentral lists this ribosomal RNA (254 nucleotides) under uncultured bacterium. Its description in RNAcentral is "partial 16S ribosomal RNA". It matches the Rfam family "Bacterial small subunit ribosomal RNA", at positions 524 to 776 of the family's 1533-position model. The record is from RNAcentral.